RNAcentral lists this ribosomal RNA (797 nucleotides) under Ruegeria atlantica. Its description in RNAcentral is "bacterial SSU rRNA". It matches the Rfam family "Bacterial small subunit ribosomal RNA", at positions 23 to 867 of the family's 1533-position model. The record is from RNAcentral. Lineage: Bacteria; Pseudomonadati; Pseudomonadota; Alphaproteobacteria; Rhodobacterales; Roseobacteraceae.
CUCAGAACGAACGCUGGCGGCAGGCCUAACACAUGCAAGUCGAGCGCGCCUUUCGGGGUGAGCGGCGGACGGGUUAGUAACGCGUGGGAAUAUACCCUUUUCUACGGAAUAGCCUCUGGAAACGGAGAGUAAUACCGUAUGAGCCCUUCGGGGGAAAGAUUUAUCGGGAAAGGAUUAGCCCGCGUUAGAUUAGGUAGUUGGUGGGGUAAUGGCCUACCAAGCCUACGAUCUAUAGCUGGUUUUAGAGGAUGAUCAGCAACACUGGGACUGAGACACGGCCCAGACUCCUACGGGAGGCAGCAGUGGGGAAUCUUGGACAAUGGGGGCAACCCUGAUCCAGCCAUGCCGCGUGAGUGAUGAAGGCCUUAGGGUCGUAAAGCUCUUUCGCCUGUGAAGAUAAUGACGGUAGCAGGUAAAGAAACCCCGGCUAACUCCGUGCCAGCAGCCGCGGUAAUACGGAGGGGGUUAGCGUUGUUCGGAAUUACUGGGCGUAAAGCGCACGUAGGCGGACUGGAAAGUUGGGGGUGAAAUCCCAGGGCUCAACCCUGGAACUGCCUCCAAAACUAUCAGUCUAGAGUUCGAGAGAGGUGAGUGGAAUUCCGAGUGUAGAGGUGAAAUUCGUAGAUAUUCGGAGGAACACCAGUGGCGAAGGCGGCUCACUGGCUCGAUACUGACGCUGAGGUGCGAAAGUGUGGGGAGCAAACAGGAUUAGAUACCCUGGUAGUCCACACCGUAAACGAUGAAUGCCAGUCGUCGGGUAGCAUGCUAUUCGGUGACACACCUAACGGAUUAAGCAU